RNAcentral lists this transfer-messenger RNA (355 nucleotides) under Planctomycetota. RNAcentral's name for it is "J029 sp003696625 Standard tmRNA". It matches the Rfam family "transfer-messenger RNA". Rfam says of the family: Bacterial tmRNA, also known as 10Sa RNA or SsrA, is named for its dual tRNA and mRNA-like properties. Its role is to liberate the mRNA from a stalled ribosome. RNAcentral also lists the same sequence under 1 other name. Lineage: Bacteria; Pseudomonadati. The record is from RNAcentral.
GGGGGCGAUCGGUUUCGACUGCGAGAUCGACGCCUCGAGGUGGCGUGCCGAGGUUGCCGGGAUGGCCUCGUGAAUCCCCCGGCAAGGCAACAACUGCCGACAACAACUACGCUCUCGCCGCCUAGAUAGAGGUGGCACGUCGAAUCGGUCCUCGCCCGCGGGGCUGAUCCGGCGCACGAAUGCGGGCUGGCGCGAAGCCUCGCCCGGGGGCCGAGCGCGAGACACCACCGGGCUGGCCCUACCUCCGGUUCGUCCGCCGGCCGGGGGCGGGGCGAGAACGAUCGGCGGACUACGCACGUAGAAGCCCGGGGCGGGACUCGUCAGGACGCGGGUUCGAUUCCCGCCGCCUCCACCA